RNAcentral lists this long non-coding RNA (524 nucleotides) under Homo sapiens (human). RNAcentral describes it as "non-protein coding lnc-MRPS22-1:22". The record is from RNAcentral. Lineage: Eukaryota; Metazoa; Chordata; Mammalia; Primates; Hominidae.
GCCGCUGAGCUUGGACCCCGACCAGAAGAUAGAGAUUGAAACGAUGAGGAAAACGAAGUGCCUAAUCCCCGCUGGACGCUAACUGCAGGGCAAGCUCCCCAGUGUUGUAGUUGUGUUUCGGAGGCCGAGAACCGCUAUCGGGCUUCCUCGGACUCUGGCCCUGGAGGGGGGAAACGGCGAGGGAGAAGGCGAAACGAGUCUCCAGUGUGUUCUUGGGGCCUGGUGCGAGGCCCAGAGAAUUCUCUGCAGGCCUUUGCCCGGGCACUGAUUAAGGCUGCGAAGAGACGCACCGGGCUGCGGGCUUAGUAGCUUCAGGCUUCUGAAGUCAGAGGGAGGGCUGAGAGCUUACACUUCUGGAGCUCCCCGGGAGACGGCAACUACCCAACCGUGUGGGAACAUGGAGGAGACAUAUUUCCACCUAUUUCUCUCCAUAAGUAUAAAAGACCAUAAAAGACCAUCUAGGGACUUCAGAACCCAAAUAAUGACACAAUGUUAAUUUGCAGGUUCUCCCUCUGCCUGCCACC